CUUCAUGACUGGAUACAGGAAUAAUCCCAAAAGAGGAAAAAUGGUGAUGUUCACGAUAUGCUGUGUCAGCUGGUGUAUUGGCUAGAGCUGCUCUGACAAUUUCUGUCUGACCCAUUCCUACAUGUCCAAGAGAGGCCAGCUUGCACCCAGCAUUUUUUCUUUAAUACAUUCAGUACCGAUGGCAAGCUGAUUGCAUGUUGUCCUUAACAGAUUUCUUUCAUAGUGAGUUAUCACUGACAUGGAAUGAAUUCCAUAAAUGGAAUUCAGUCAAGUUCCAUCUCUAAACUCCAGGUCUGAGGAGACUUCUUAAAUAGCUUCAAGGUCUGUGCUGUAUUUUUCACACAAUGGUGCAAUUGAUGAGAAGGUGAAGUUUUCUGACAGUAAAUUGCUUCUUUACAAACAAUACACAAGUUCCGGGUUUGUUUCAAAUUCAAGAGAAACCAAAAAUACUGGGUAGAGUGGCUGGUGAAGGUGCUGUUAGAAAAUUCUUCAUCAGCAUCUUGGGCAGAGGGCAUGAUCAUCUUCGUGUAAAGUAUCUUGUUGAAGAUGGGCUCUGGGAUUUCCCUGUCUUUUUUAUGUUAAUUCUGCCUAGAACUGGAACUAAGGAAGCAGUCUUUUAGUGAGGAAAAAUUGAACAGAAAUUACACUACGAUCAGAGCUGCACAGCACUGGAAAACAAAGGACUGCUUUUGCUCAGUGCCCUGGAAAACAGCUUACCUCCCAUGAGUGAAGGUGAGGGACUGCAGUGUUCCUCUGCAGCUGGAUUGUACUUGUGAUACGCGAAAAGUUUCCUCACCAUCAGCCAGUGAGUGGCCCCAAGCAGACAACCAGUACUGUCUCCAAUCUCCAGAGCUGCCUGUUAAGCAUUGAGGAGAAAAGACACUUUUUCUUCCUCCCUGUGCCUUCAGGCAGGAUGCACUGCACUGGAAGGGUGCAGCUACUCAAUCUCCAGCUCCCUGGUGUUCUGUGCUGGGAUAGAGAAUUUAGGAGCCUUUGAGGCCACAACAGAUUUUUAGGACAUGUUUGCUUACAGACAGAUAAAUGUUAAUGCAAUUAAGUGAUACCAAGAGAGAAGCAACAAAAUCAUUCAUUAACUUUAAAUUUAGGAGUUGUUGGUUCCAGCUUAUUGUUGAUUCCAGCUUUUGGGACUGGCUAAUGAUCUACUGCUUUUUCUAGAGCUCAUACCUUGGAAAGUUCCUAGGGCUACAUAAUUCCCACUCCUUUUGAAGCAGAUAAUUAGUGGAGACACCCUGAGUUAAUUCUGCCUUUUUUCCAUUCUGAAU
Non-coding RNA from Cyanistes caeruleus (blue tit), 1283 nucleotides. NCBI's taxonomy places the organism in Eukaryota, Metazoa, Chordata, Aves, Passeriformes, Paridae. The record is from RefSeq and is a predicted model, not a curated record.